This 262-nucleotide ribosomal RNA is filed under the name uncultured archaeon. Its description in RNAcentral is "partial 16S ribosomal RNA". It matches the Rfam family "Archaeal small subunit ribosomal RNA", at positions 748 to 1008 of the family's 1478-position model. The record is from RNAcentral.
CAGCCGUAAACUAUGCGCGUUAGGUGUACUGGUGACCACGAGUCACCGGGGUGCCGAAGGGAAACCGUGAAACGUGCCGCCUGGGAAGUACGGUCGCAAGGCUGAAACUUAAAGGAAUUGGCGGGGAGCACCACAACGGGUGGAGCCUGCGGGUUUAAUUUGGACUCAACGCCGGAAAUCUCACCGGAUAGGACAGACAUAUGAUAGUCGGGCUGAAGACUCUACUUGAUGAUCUGAGAGGUGGUGCAUGGCGUCAGUGACU